CAACCCAUUCAGUCUUUUCAGAUUUUAAAAUAUUUCUACGUAACUUUUAUAAACUUGUAGCUAUAAUCCAUACAAAGAAAAUGUAUGUUAAAAUUAGUUCGUAAUAUAAGCAGUUACCUAGAAAUGGGCAAUUUUGCAUAAGUCACUGUUUUCGUUAUUUUGCCUGUAAAAUAGUCAAUUAUUAUUGGAUUUUCAGAAAAGUGACACCAUUUGAUUCAAAAAGCAAGUAUGCGUCAUAUCAAAUUGAUUACAAUUUAAAAUUGACACCGGAAGUGACGCCAUUUUGUCAAAAAAUGCAUUUUUAUACGCCCACAUUUUCAUGUGGACGUAUAUUGUUGUCGCCCCUGUCCGUCCGUCCGUCCGUCCGUCCACAAUUGUUUGUGAACAGUCUACAGGUCACAAUUUUUAUCUGAUUUCAAUGAAACUUGAAAUAUAGGUUUAUCACCCUAAGAUCUCGGUUCCUUUCGAUAUUGGCAUCUAUCGGACCGUAACUUCAUGGAUUAUGGCCCCUGAUUGUACGAAAAAUCACGUUUUUGGCUUGUGAACACUGUAGAGGUCACAAUUUUUAUCCGAUUUUGUUGAAACUUAAAAUGUAAGUUUAUAACCCAAAGAUCUUGGUUCCUUUCGAUAUUCACGCAUAUCGGACCGUAACUUCCUGAAUUAUGGACCCUGAUUGUACGUAAAAACAUGUUUUUUGGCUUGUGGACCCUAUAGAGGUCAUAAUUUUUAUCCUAUUUAAAAAAACGUAUUAUUAUAUCACCGUUAAACCCUAAGGACGGUUGAGUUCGAAUUUCGUGAAAAUCGGCCCAAAACUGACAGACAAAAGGGCCGCCCUUCGUUAUCAAAUAGCGUAAAAAAUAUGGUAUAUCAAGGUUGUGGACCCUAUAGAGGUCACAAUUUUUAUCCGAUUUUGUUAAAACUUGAAAUUUUAGUUUAUAACCCAAAGAUCUCGGUUCCGUUCAAUAUUCGCACAUAUCGGACCGUAACUUCCUGAAUUAUGGCCCCUGAUUGUAUGAAAAAUCACGUUUUUAGCUUGUGGACCCUAUAGAGGUCAUAAUUUUUAUCCGAUUUAAAAAAACGUGUUAAUAUAUCACCGUUACACCCUAAGGACGGCUGAGUUCGAAUUUUGUAAAAAUCGGCCCAAAACUGACAGACAAAAUGGCCGCCGUUCGUUCUCAAAUAGCGUAAAAAUAUGGUAUAUCAAGUUUGUUGACACUAUAGAGGUCACAAUUUUUAUCCGAUUUUGUUGAAACUUGAAAUGUAAGUUUAUAACACAAAGAUCUUGGUUCCUUUCGAUAUUCACGCAUAUCGGAUCGUAACUUCAUGAAUUAUGGCCCCUGAUUGUACGCAAAAACGCGUUUUUUGGCUUGUAGACCCUAUAGAGGUCAUAAUUUUUAUCCGAUUUAAAAAAACGUGUUAAUAUAUCACCGUUACACCAUAAGGACAGCUGAGUUUGAAUUUCGUGAAAAUCGGCCCAAAACUGACAGACAAAAUGGCUGCCGUUCGUUCUCAAAUAGCGUAAAAAUAUCAAGGUGUAUCAAGGUUGUGGACCCUAUAGAGGUCACAAUUUUUAUCCCAUUUUGUUGAAACUUGAAAUGUAAGUUUAUAACCCAAAGAUCUCGGUUCCUUUUGAUAUUCGCGCAUAUGGGACCGUAACUUCCUGAAUUAUGGCCCCUGAUUGUACGAAAAAUGACAUUUUUAGCUUGUGGAUCCUAUAGAGGUCAUAAUUAUUAUCCGAUUUAAAAAAUCAUAUUAUUAUAUCACCGUCACACCCUAAGGACGACUGAGUUCGAAUUUCGUGAAAAUCGGCCAAAAACUGACAGAUAAAAUGGCCGCCCUUCGUUCUCAAAUAGCGUAAAAAUAUGGUAUAUCAGAGGUUACAAUUUUUUUAUCCGAUUUUGUUGAAACUUGAAAUGUAAGUUUAUAACCCAAAGAUCUUGCUUCCUUUCGAUAUUCGCGCAUUUCGGACCGUAACUUACUGAAUUAUGGCCCCUGAUUGUAUGAAAAAACGCGUUGUUAGCUUGUGGACCCUAUUUUUAUCCGAUGGUUUCAUUGGUACCGGAAGUGACAUAUGUUUAGGGUAAUGUGGCACCGGUGAAACCGUAGUCAUAAAAAUCGGUGCUCUUGCAAACAUCGUGAUUCCACGGUUGGGUGUGACCGGAUGAAAACACCUAAAGUAUCGUUUGGUAGCUCGAUGAAUGAGCUAUUGUAUGACACACUUCCUGUCUGAUUCCUGAAAGCCGGUUCAGUGCUGCUUUUGCAGGUCUAGUUAUUAUUAUUAUUUAUCCCGGGAGCCUAUUUCUCCAUGAUCGAAAACAGAUAUCGAUCUGGAACCAAAUAUUCUAUUGGGAAACCAGGUGGUGGCUACUCCUUAAAACAAUUUUGAAACUUCUGCGCAUACCGGAAGUGACCAUAAUUUUUAUCCGAUGGUUUCAUUGGUACCGGAAGUGACAUAUGUUUAGGGUAAUGUGGCACCGGUGAAACCGUAGUCAUAAAAAUAUUCGAAAUUAAAAAAAACAACAGUAAAAAUCGGUGCUCUUGCAAACAUCGUGAUUCCACGGUUGGGUGUGACCGGAUGAAAACACCUAAAGUAUCGUUUGGUAGCUCGAUGAAUGAGCUAUUGUAUGACACACUUCCUGUCUGAUUCCUGAAAGCCGGUUCAGUGCUGCUUGCAGGUCUAGUUAUUAUUAUUAUUUAUCCCGGGAGCCUAUUUCUCCAUGAUCGAAAACAGAUAUCGAUCUGGAACCAAAUAUUCUAUUGGGAAACCAGGUGGUGGCUACUCCUUAAAACAAUUUUGAAACUUCUGCGCAUACCGGAAGUGACCAAACUUUGUACUUUUUCGCGAUAUUGAAAAUUGGCCGUGGUUUCAUCAACUCUUUACCUAUUUUCAAACAAAUGACAUUUUCAGAGACCCUGAUUCUUUUCCGGGACAAUGGCUAUCUCACAUUUUUUAAUUUCGAAAAUUCAGCCUGGACUUUUGUCGUUCGAAAAUUGAAAAAACGUAGUUUACGAGACAUUUUUGCUAUUUUUCAAAAUUUUCAAAUUUGACCUACAUUUUGGGAUACCUGAAGACCAUCCAAUUCCAGAAAUAUAAGUUUCAUUCCGAGUUAUCGCCUUUUUUAUUACACAGUUUUGACCACAAUGUGUUUCGAUUCGCAUUUUGGUAUUCUAAAUUGAUGCUUAUACGGAAUUCUUAUAUUUAGUUCCAUUUUGUGUGCGGAAAUUAAAUCAACGAUAAGUUUUAAAAUUAAUUAUGAUGCCGAAAUAAUAUCAAUCCAAUUGUAUUUUGGCGAGUCAUUAAGUUGUCAAUAUGUAAUUGUAAAAUACCUUUUUUUUAUCCAUCUAAUAAUUUAUAUUCAGAUUUCAUAUCAAGUCAAUUAAAUGUUGUCUAAACAUUAAAAUCAUAACAGCAAUUAACAAAUAAUACGAGUAUACUUUAUUACAAAAACAUCAGUGAAGUAUUCUAAAAAUCUAAAAUCAUAAGGGCAAUUAAAUAACAAUACGAAUAUACUUCACUACAAAACCAUGUGUCUGGAUUAGGGGAUUAAUUAAACAAUAGGCAUAGGCGUACGGGGAAAUUUUUGACUGAGGGGUGGGGGGCGGUGGUGUUUGGUGCCCAAAAAAUGUAGUUAGGUUCUUAGUAUGUUACAUAAUAGUAAUAAAUUCGCUGUUAAAUUGGACACACUCAAGAAUACAAUAUUUUUUUUUUAUACAAAUUUUACAAAGUACAAUUGUGUAAACAAUAUGUGGAUUAGGUUUUAGACUUGGAUGUGAGGUAUCCCGAAUGUUAGUGUGUAAACUGAUAAGUGUUUUAUGUGCAAUAUAUGUGCAUAUAGUUUGUAGAGGAACUUUCCAUGUAUUUGGAUAUUAAAUAUUUUAAUGACCCUGCUUGUUUUGCUUUUGUUUUUGGUUAGAAAUACUCGAUUUUAUUGUGACAAGACUAAUUAUAAACUGGAUACGAUUUGCGGUCCUUGCCCGUUUCAAUGGGGGGAAACUGUACCUACCUAUUUUUAUCCGAUGGUUUCAUUGGUACCGGAAGUGACAUAUGUUUAGGGUAAUGUGGCACCGGUGAAACCGUAGUCAUAAAAAUCGGUGCUCUUGCAAACAUCGUGAUUCCACGGUUGGGUGUGACCGGAUGAAAACACCUAAAGUAUCGUUUGGUAGCUCGAUGAAUGAGCUAUUGUAUGACACACUUCCUGUCUGAUUCCUGAAAGCCGGUUCAGUGCUGCUUUUGCAGGUCUAGUUAUUAUUAUUAUUUAUCCCGGGAGCCUAUUUCUCCAUGAUCGAAAACAGAUAUCGAUCUGGAACCAAAUAUUCUAUUGGGAAACCAGGUGGUGGCUACUCCUUAAAACAAUUUUGAAACUUCUGCGCAUACCGGAAGUGACCAUAAUUUUUAUCCGAUGGUUUCAUUGGUACCGGAAGUGACAUAUGUUUAGGGUAAUGUGGCACCGGUGAAACCGUAGUCAUAAAAAUAUUCGAAAUUAAAAAAAACAACAGUAAAAAUCGGUGCUCUUGCAAACAUCGUGAUUCCACGGUUGGGUGUGACCGGAUGAAAACACCUAAAGUAUCGUUUGGUAGCUCGAUGAAUGAGCUAUUGUAUGACACACUUCCUGUCUGAUUCCUGAAAGCCGGUUCAGUGCUGCUUGCAGGUCUAGUUAUUAUUAUUAUUUAUCCCGGGAGCCUAUUUCUCCAUGAUCGAAAACAGAUAUCGAUCUGGAACCAAAUAUUCUAUUGGGAAACCAGGUGGUGGCUACUCCUUAAAACAAUUUUGAAACUUCUGCGCAUACCGGAAGUGACCAAACUUUGUACUUUUUCGCGAUAUUGAAAAUUGGCCGUGGUUUCAUCAACUCUUUACCUAUUUUCAAACAAAUGACAUUUUCAGAGACCCUGAUUCUUUUCCGGGACAAUGGCUAUCUCACAUUUUUUAAUUUCGAAAAUUCAGCCUGGACUUUUGUCGUUCGAAAAUUGAAAAAACGUAGUUUACGAGACAUUUUUGCUAUUUUUCAAAAUUUUCAAAUUUGACCUACAUUUUGGGAUACCUGAAGACCAUCCAAUUCCAGAAAUAUAAGUUUCAUUCCGAGUUAUCGCCUUUUUUAUUACACAGUUUUGACCACAAUGUGUUUCGAUUCGCAUUUUGGUAUUCUAAAUUGAUGCUUAUACGGAAUUCUUAUAUUUAGUUCCAUUUUGUGUGCGGAAAUUAAAUCAACGAUAAGUUUUAAAAUUAAUUAUGAUGCCGAAAUAAUAUCAAUCCAAUUGUAUUUUGGCGAGUCAUUAAGUUGUCAAUAUGUAAUUGUAAAAUACCUUUUUUUUAUCCAUCUAAUAAUUUAUAUUCAGAUUUCAUAUCAAGUCAAUUAAAUGUUGUCUAAACAUUAAAAUCAUAACAGCAAUUAACAAACAAUACGAGUAUACUUUAUUACAAAAACAUCAGUGAAGUAUUCUAAAAAUCUAAAAUCAUAAGGGCAAUUAAAUAACAAUACGAAUAUACUUCACUACAAAACCAUGUGUCUGGAUUAGGGGAUUAAUUAAACAAUAGGCAUAGGCGUACGGGGAAAUUUUUGACUGAGGGGUGGGGGGCGGUGGUGUUUGGUGCCCAAAAAAUGUAGUUAGGUUCUUAGUAUGUUACAUAAUAGUAAUAAAUUCGCUGUUAAAUUGGACACACUCAAGAAUACAAUAUUUUUUUUUUAUACAAAUUUUACAAAGUACAAUUGUGUAAACAAUAUGUGGAUUAGGUUUUAGACUUGGAUGUGAGGUAUCCCGAAUGUUAGUGUGUAAACUGAUAAGUGUUUUAUGUGCAAUAUAUGUGCAUAUAGUUUGUAGAGGAACUUUCCAUGUAUUUGGAUAUUAAAUAUUUUAAUGACCCUGCUUGUUUUGCUUUUGUUUUUGGUUAGAAAUACUCGAUUUUAUUGUGACAAGACUAAUUAUAAACUGGAUACGAUUUGCGGUCCUUGCCCGUUUCAAUGGGGGGAAACUGUACCUACAGUUGUUAACAAUUCCCCUCCUUCGGUAUUUCUUCAACAUUCCCAAGGGGUGGGAAUACAAAAAUAAAUGUUGGCGAAAAUAGUCCCCCAAAGACGUCUAGAUAAAUGGUAAACUGAUAAGUGUUUUAUGUGCAAUAUAUGUGCAUAUAGUUUGUAGAGGAACUUUCCAUGUAUUUGGAUAUUAAAUAUUUUAAUGACCCUGCUUGUUUUGCUUUUGUUUUUGGUUAGAAAUACUCGAUUUUAUUGUGACAAGACUAAUUAUAAACUGGAUACGAUUUGCGGUCCUUGCCCGUUUCAAUGGGGGGAAACUGUACCUACAGUUGUUAACAAUUCCCCUCCUUCGGUAUUUCUUCAACAUUCCCAAGGGGUGGGAAUACAAAAAUAAAUGUUGGCGAAAAUAGUCCCCCAAAGACGUCUAGAUAAAUGGCAAAAUAGACGUUUCAUUUGUGGCCGAAACGAGAACUGCACGCAAUAAUUUGUAAAUUCACAAAUACAUUUGUUAUUAAUUGCGGAAGCAGGUAAAUAACCCAGAAAGCAAGAUUAUAAGUAACAAGAUAUACGUCCAUUGUUUUGUUAUUUUCUAAUAAAUAAAAUGUGAGUUUUAUCUACGCUGGGGAAAUUGUCAAAUCAUUGUAAAUCGACUUCCCAAUGGAUGUCGGCAAUACCGAAGAAUGGACGAUAUUCAACAAAUAUGCAAUUCAUUCAAAAAUUUUAGACACAAUACUCAGAUUCUAAAUCUGACCAUAGUUUCAAAAAUUGGGAGACAGAACUUAAAUAUUUCACACAAAAACAAACGCCUCAAGUUUUCUAGAUGACACUGGGCAAACUAAUUACAACACAUGAAAAGUAAACGGCAUUGCAUUACUACUCACCCGUAAGUUACUAGACGGCUCUCGGUAAAGUGGUAAUUUGACGUAAAAUCUAAAGGCUUUAAAUAAUUAAACACUCUGUUCAUUUCUUGACAACGUCCGGGAAAAUAAAUGCCUUGUCUAUAAACUAAACCCCUUUCAAAUCUAAAUGGUAGUGUUCAUUUCUAAAAAACAUCCCGAGAAACUGGACGGUCGUAAAGCAGACGAUCGUUUUCAAAAGUAAACGGUGUUUACCACCCUAAGAUCUUGGUUCCUUUCGAUAUUGGCAUGUAUCAGACUGUAACUUCAUGGAUUAUGGCCCCUGAUUGUACGAAAAAUCACGUUUUUAGCUUGUGAACACUGUAGAGGUCACAAUUUUUAUCCGAUUUAGUUUCAACUUGAAAUGUACGAUUAUAACCUAAAGAUCUCGGAUCCUUUCGAUAUUCGCGCAUAUCGGAACGUAACUUCCUGAAUUAUGGCCCCUGAUUGUACGAAAAAUCGCGUUUUUAGCUUGUGGACCAUAUAGAGGUCAUAAUUUUUAUCUGAUUUAAAAAAACGUAUAAUUCUUUCACCGUUACACCCCAAGGACGGCUGAGUUCGAAUUUCGUGAAAAUCGGCCCAAAACUGACAGGCAAAAUUUCAAGGUUGUGGACCCUAAAGAGGUCAGAAUUUUUUAUCCGAUUUUGUUGAAACUUGAAAUAUAAGUUUAUAACCCAAAGAUCUUGGUUCCUUUCGAUGUUCGCGCAUAUCGGACUGUAACUUCCUGAAUUAUGGCCCCUGAUUGUACGAAAAAUCACUUUCUUUUUAGCUUGUUCUCUAUCCAUCUCUCGAAAAUGUGGGCGUAUCCUGCCUGGCAGCCGCUGGUUAUCUGAUUUUGUUGAAACUUGAAAUGUAAGUUUAUAACACAAAGAUCUCGGUUCCUUUCGAUAUUUGCGCAUAUCGGACCGUAACUUCAUGAAUUAUGGCCCCUUAUUGUGGACCCUAUAGAGGUCAUAAUUUUUAUCCGAUUUAAAAAAACGUUUUAUUAUAUCACCGUUACAUCCUAAGGACGGUUGAGUUCGAAUUUCAUGAAAAUCGGCCCAAAACUGACAGACAAAAUGGCUGCCCUUCAUCUCAAAUAGCGUAAAAAUAUGGUAUAUCAAGGUUGUGGACCCUAUAGAGGUCACAAUUUUUAUCCGAUUUUGUUGAAACUUGAAAUGUAAGUUUAUAACACAAAGAUCUCGGUUUCUUUCGAUAUUCGCGCAUAUCAGACCUUAUCUGUCGAUCUGUAUUAAAUUUUAUAUUUGCCAUUGAAGUUAGUAAAAAAAAGAAUCCUAUUGAAUUUCAGCAAUUUUUGUUUAUUACGUCUAGAAUUAUGGUUCUUUUCACUUUAUUGAACCUUGUGAAAAGUCCACGCCGAAAGUUAUCGUCUGAUCUUUGUGAAAUUUAUAUGCAUUAUUUAAAUUAGUGAAACCACAAAGCCUGUUGAAUUUCAGCAAUUUACAAUAAUUACUUCUAGAGUUAUGGCCCUUGUUUCACUUUGUUGGACUUUGUGAACGUUCUAACCUCUAAAGUUAUCUGCCGAUCUGUAUGAAAUUUAUAUGUGCCAUUGAAGUUAGUAAAAAAAAGAAUCCUACUGAAUUUCAGCAAUUUCUGUUUAUUACGUCUAGAAUUAUGGUUCUUUUCACUUUAUUGAACCUUGUGAACACUCCAACGCCAAAAGUUAUCAUCCGAUCUUUGUGAAAUUUGUGAAAUUUAUAUGCAUUAUUUAAAUUAGUAAAACCACAAAGCCUGUUGAAUUUCAGCAAUUUACAAUAAUUACUUCUAGAGUUAUGGCCCUUGUUUCACAUUGUUCAACCUUGUUAAUGCUCGAUUGAUGAAAGUUAUCUUCCGAUAUGUAUGAAAUUUAUAUGUAUCAUUUAAAUUUGUGAAACAGAGGUCUAUUGAAGUUCAGCAAUUUCUGUCAAUAAUUUCUAGAGUUAUGGCCCUUGUUUUACUUUGUGAACGUUUGAAUAACAAAAGUGAUCAUCCAAUCUGUAUGAAAUUUAUAUGCAUUAUUUAAAUUAGUAAAACGAAAAAGCCCUGUCAAAUUGCCACAAUUUCUGUAAACUACUUCCAGAGUUGAGGCCCUUGUUUCAGUUUGUAGAACCUUGUGAACCCUCAAACGACAAAAAUUAUAAUCUGAUCUGUAUGGAACUGUCUUGUAAAGGCCCCCAAUUACCUACAAAGCAAUAAAUAUGUGACAACCCUUGUCGACCACUCAGACGAUUUAACUGCUGUUGGCGUAUGUUUUGUUGCCUGGCAACCUAUCAUCUAUUUUAUGAAGAAAACAUGUCAUUUUCGAUCUGAAAAAGCAAGUUUUUUUAUGCAAAAUAAGCCGUUCCGUGGGACUAUUGCAUUGAAAAUGAGAGCAAUUUCAGUUUUCCUACAACAGAAGUAACUAGUUCCAAAUCUUUAAUAUUGAUGCUAGGAGUUUAAGAUUGUUACAACCGUCCUACACAUAUAAUGUAGUCAUUGUUAAACUUUGAGGCCUUUAGCUUCAAUAUCAAUACGACCAUUUUUAUUUGCCAAAUUUCUUUCCAUUGUCGGAUGACGGCUUGAUACAAAAGGUAUAUAUGGGCUGGGAUCUUUAAUAUUAAUGCUAGGAGCCUCCAAUUGUCACAUCUCUUUCAUAAUAUAUAUAGGAUGAAUGUCUGAAAAUGCCAGCUUCCUCGAUUCAGGAAAAAUUGAAAUAUACAGAAAUGAAAUUGGAAAAAGGUGAUUUCUCGACAGUAGCCUAAUGAAUAUGACACUGAAUUGAAUUUUUAUUACUAUUAAUUUCUAAUUUUACAGAGUUGCAAUGUUAAUAGCAGUUGAUCAAGAUGUCCAGGAAGAGUUUGCAAUAAAACAGUUGAUCCAAU
Patella vulgata (common limpet) is the source of this 9705-nucleotide long non-coding RNA. RefSeq lists it as uncharacterized. The record is from RefSeq and is a predicted model, not a curated record. NCBI's taxonomy places the organism in Eukaryota, Metazoa, Mollusca, Gastropoda, Patellidae. The transcript is spliced from 2 exons.